UCCGGCGUAGCUCAGCGGUAGAGCAGGUCGCUGUUAACGACAAGGUCGCUGGUUCGAACCCAGCCGCCGGAGCCA
RNAcentral lists this transfer RNA (75 nucleotides) under Candidatus Saccharimonadota bacterium. RNAcentral describes it as "tRNA-Asn". It matches the Rfam family "tRNA". From Rfam's summary of the family: Transfer RNA (tRNA) molecules are approximately 80 nucleotides in length. Their secondary structure includes four short double-helical elements and three loops (D, anti-codon, and T loops). Further hydrogen bonds mediate the characteristic L-shaped molecular structure. tRNAs have two regions of fundamental functional importance: the anti-codon, which is responsible for specific mRNA codon recognition, and the 3' end, to which the tRNAs corresponding amino acid is attached (by aminoacyl-tRNA synthetases). tRNAs cope with the degeneracy of the genetic code in two manners: having more than one tRNA (with a specific anti-codon) for a particular amino acid; and 'wobble' base-pairing, i.e. permitting non-standard base-pairing at the 3rd anti-codon position. The record is from RNAcentral. Lineage: Bacteria; Candidatus Saccharimonadota. RNAcentral also lists the same sequence under 3 other names.